RNAcentral lists this unclassified non-coding RNA (200 nucleotides) under soil metagenome. Its description in RNAcentral is "partial contains internal transcribed spacer 2 and large subunit ribosomal RNA". The record is from RNAcentral.
GAGUGGUUUGGAUGUGGGGGCUUUGCUGGCCUUUCAAAAGGUUCAGCUCCCCUGAAAUGCAUUAGCAGAACAACCUUGCUCAUUGGUGUGAUAACUAUCUACGCUUAUGAAUGUGAGGGGCAGUUCAGCUUUCUAACAGUCUUUGGACAAAUCAUCAUUAAUGUGACCUCAAAUCAGGUAGGACUACCCGCUGAACUUAA